GUUUGGUUCUGGCUCCAGAUUGAACAUGGCGGGAUGCUUUACAUGCAAGUCGAACGGCAGCACGGACUUCAGUCUGGUGGCGAGUGGCGAACGGGUGAGUAAUGUAUCGGGACGUGCACUGUGUGGGGAUAACUACGCGAAAGCGCCAGCUAAUACCACAUACUUCGAAGGAAAGCGGGGGACCUUCGGGCCUCGCACUAUUAGAGCGGCCGAUAUCGGAUUAGCUAGUUGGUGGGGUAACGGCUGGGCGGCAGUCGUAGCUGGUUUGAGAGGACGACCAGCCACACUGGGACUGAGACACGGCUGAACUCUACGGGAGGCAGCAGUGGGGAAUUUGGACAAUGGGGAAACCCUGAUCCAGCCAUCCCGCGUGUGCGAUGAAGGCCUUCGGGUUGUAAAGCACUUUUUGGCAGAAGAAAACGGCGGGAUAAUACCCCGUGCAACUGACAGUACCUGCAGAAUAAGCACCGGCUAACUACGUGCCAGCAGCCGCGGUAAUACGUAGGGUGCAAGUGUUAAUCGGAAUUACUGGGCGUAAAGCGUGCGCAGGCGGUUCGGAAAGAAAGAUGUGAAAUCCCAGAGCUUAACUUUGGAACUGCAUUUUUAACUACCGAGCUAGAGUGUGUCAGAGGAGGUGGAAUUCCGCGUGUAGCAGUGAAAUGCGUAGAUAUGCGGAGGAACACCGAUGGCGAAGGCAGCCUCCUGGGAUAACACUGACGCUCAUGCACGAAAGCGUGGGGAGCAAACAGGAUUAGAUACCCUGGUAGUCCACGCCUAAACGAUGUCAGCAGCUGUUGGGGCCUUCGGGCAGCGGUAGCCCCGCAACUAACGCGUGAAGUUGACCGCCUGGGGAGAGUACGGUCGCAAGAUUAAAACUCAAAGGAAUUGACGGGGACCCGCAAGCGGUGGAUGAUGUGGAUUAAUUCGAUGCAACGCGAAAAACCUUACCUACCCUUGACAUGUCUGGAGUCCCGAAGAGAUUUGGGAGUGCUCGCAAGAGAACCGGAACACAGGUGCUGCAUGGCUGUCGUCAGCUCGUGUCGUGAGAUGUUGGGUUAAGUCCCGCAACGAGCGCAACCCUUGUCAUUAGUUGCUACGAAAGGCACUCUAAUGCCAGGACUGCCGGUGACAAACCGGAGGAAGGUGGGGAUGACGUCAAGUCCUCAUGGCCCUUAUGGGUAGGGCUUCACACGUCAUACAAUGGUCGGGACAGAGGGUCGCCAACCCGCGAGGGGGAGCCAAUCCCAGAAACCCGAUCGUAGUCCGGAUCGCAGUCUGCAACUCGACUGCGUGAAGUCGGAAUCGCUAGUAAUCGCGGAUCAGCAUGUCGCGGUGAAUACGUUCCAGGUCUUGUACACACCGCCCGUCACACCAUGGGAGUGGGUUUUACCAGAAGUAGUUAGCCUAACCGUAAGGAGGGCGAUUACCACGGUAGGAUUCAUGACUGGGGUGAAGUCGUAACAAGGUAA
RNAcentral lists this ribosomal RNA (1469 nucleotides) under uncultured Bordetella sp. RNAcentral's name for it is "partial 16S-23S ribosomal RNA intergenic spacer". It matches the Rfam family "Bacterial small subunit ribosomal RNA". Lineage: Bacteria; Pseudomonadati; Pseudomonadota; Betaproteobacteria; Burkholderiales; Alcaligenaceae. The record is from RNAcentral.